GACAGAGGUGGCAAGCGUUGUUCGGAUUCAUUGGGUGUAAAGGGUUCGUAGGUGGUCUAGUAAGUCUGACGUGAAAUCCCAUGGCUCAACCGUGGAACUGCGUUGGAAACUGCAAGACUUGAGUACCGCAGAGGUGAAGGGAAUUCCCGGUGUAAGGGUGAAAUCUGUAGAUAUCGGGAGGAACACCAGUGGCGAAGGCGCUUCACUGGGCGGUUACUGACACUGAGGAACGAAAGCAAGGGGAGCAAACAGG
Molecule: ribosomal RNA, 253 nt
Filed under: uncultured bacterium
Lineage: Bacteria
Description: partial 16S ribosomal RNA
Rfam family: Bacterial small subunit ribosomal RNA
Source: RNAcentral